Molecule: ribosomal RNA, 336 nt
Filed under: uncultured Prevotella sp.
Lineage: Bacteria; Pseudomonadati; Bacteroidota; Bacteroidia; Bacteroidales; Prevotellaceae
Description: bacterial SSU rRNA
Rfam family: Bacterial small subunit ribosomal RNA
Source: RNAcentral
UGAGGAAUAUUGGGUCAAUGGGCGAGAGCCUGAACCAGCCAAGUAGCGUGCAGGAUGACGGCCCUAUGGGUUGUAAACUGCUUUUGUGCGGGGAUAAAGUGUGGGACGCGUCCCAUAUUGCAGGUACCGCAUGAAUAAGGACCGGCUAAUUCCGUGCCAGCAGCCGCGGUAAUACGGAAGGUCCGGGCGUUAUCCGGAUUUAUUGGGUUUAAAGGGAGCGUAGGCCGGAGAUUAAGCGUGUUGUGAAAUGCUGCGGCUCAACCGUGGCACUGCAGCGCGAACUGGUUUUCUUGAGUGCGCGCGACGCAGGCGGAAUUCGUGGUGUAGCGGUGAAAU